Non-coding RNA from Plectropomus leopardus (leopard coralgrouper), 2442 nucleotides. The record is from RefSeq and is a predicted model, not a curated record. Lineage: Eukaryota; Metazoa; Chordata; Actinopteri; Perciformes; Serranidae.
UUAAGUGUUUUAUUUACAGGACGACAACAUUUGGAUAUAUCCACUUGAUUUCUAGCUGCAGUAAAUCAUGCUGCAACACAGCCGGCCUGGAGCGUCUACUGGCAUGAGCAGGUGUGACCGUCCUCACCACACAGCAAACUGGGACUCUGCUCCAUAAACGUCUGUUGGACUUUUACAUGAAAGUAAACAAAAAAAAACCCAUGAGGACACUGAUGUUGGUGGCGGAAGAUUGCGUUGCGACACCCUCCCCCUCCCCGAAAAGCACAGCGGGUGUCCGUGUCAGGGCGCUCCUCUUCACACAGUUCAAGUGCGCACGUGAGAGGCGCGAACCAUUCACACAAACUAAAAGCAACAUUUAUAGCAGCAAACUGAGAGACAGCUUUGGGGAAAUAAACGGAGCAAAAGUGAGACACUGGGAAGCAGGGAUAAGCCUCGUUAUUAUGGAUUCGCUAGUGAAAUGUACACUGAGUCUUUUGCGGGACAGUAACAGCGGAUCCAGUCCCCCACCCCCCCUCGGCUCAGUCCGGCUCUCUUCAGGCAGGUGGACGAGGACAUCGGAGACAUCGUGGUACUGUAAAACUCUGCUGUUUGAAACGUCUCGACUCUAAUCUGAACUACAAAAAUGGAUUAAGAUUCACAGCUCGUGUAAACCCGGCGGCGGCAGAUCUGAAUCGCUUUGCAACAGAAGGAAAAUGUGAACCCGGAAAAGUUCACCCCCUCCCCGCUGGAGUACUUCAUGCCAAAGGUGUGACGCCAGAUCGCCACGAUCCGGAUCGGAAGUGCAAAUCAACCCCAGAAAUUUAAUCUGGAACUUUUCUUUUUUUUUUUUUAAGGUUAUAACAUCGCUUGUAAAGUGGCGCCCUGUCGCGUGCAGAGGGACAACGAGGGGCCACGUCCACCAAAGUGUUUGUUUUUCCUCACAUCAGCUGUUUUUUCAUUGCUUCUCAAUGGGAACGCCGCGCUACAGUCGCCACGCUACAGAUCAGGGGUGUAACGAUCCAUCAAUAUAUUGAUCCAUAUCGUUUCAAUGAACAACGAUCCCGUAUCAUUGAUGCAAAGCGUAAACGUCGAUCCAUAUCACCCUCUUUCCGAUGUGCCUUUGAAAGUAUUGAUCAUAGUCACACAGCGUCAGGCGGAUGACGGCGAAAAGCCAAGAGGAAGAUGAUGAGGACGACGUUAUUACCCGCGAAAAAAAUCAUCAGUGAAACCGCCAAUCAAGAUCCGGAGCACGCGGCGCUGCCGGGCAUCUCACUACGCUAACUUCCACCUGCAACAUGUGCAGCUCAGUCUGAGGAGAUGUUUAUGCAAACCGAAAUUUAUCCUUUCUGAGGCUCAGCGACUUCUUUUAAAUCUUUGAUAAUUUUUUUACAUGAGGUCUCUUUUUAAUUUAUCUUUGAAUUUUUUUAUUCUGUCUCCAUCCUGCUUAUUAUUAUUAUUAUUAUGAAAAAUAAAAAACCCGCGCUGGUCACUGACACUUCGGCCCAUCGGUCGCAGUGACGGAGGGACGGAUGCGGACAAAUCUGUUCACACACUGUGGACAUGAAGUGUCCUCUGAUAAAACGCACACAGACGGGCCGGUCCGUCCUCCGUCCCUGCGUCCUGCAGCCGUCUCCUUUUCCAAAACAAGAACUCUCCCUUGUACCAAAAUAUUUGCUUUGAUACAGAAAAUCUGCCAGACGCAACAAAAGCUCUCCACUGAAAACAAGCUGCACCUCCACAGAGCUCUCAAACGCUCCCAGCGGGGCGUUUUCUGAGACGCACAAAAAAAACACUUUGGUGGACGCGGCCCCUGAGGGUCGACUCAGUGAGAGGUACCCAUCACUUUGUGCCUCAUGAAAACAGAUCGCAGGGUCGACUCGAGCUCAUAUUUUGACGUACGGACACUCACACCUUCUCUGCAACGCACGCGUCUUUCCUCUGAUCCCGCCGGUCACCGCCAUCCCCAAAAAUCAGCGACAGGAGCGACGACAGCAGCCGCCUCGCGCCUCCUGUGAGGUGUGUCAUGGUGGCGAGCGAAGAGAGGCGGGCAGGGGCAUCGAGGAGCUCCUACAGCUGUUGAAACGUCUCCUACAGGGUUAUUUAAUAAAGUCCAAAACAAUCCACUCGUUUUCUUUCUCGCUCCAAACACACUGAGCCUCCUUUUCCUUCCAGUUAUGUUUUUCCCGUUUUCGCUCACACGGCUGAGUUCAGGGGAACAUCUCUGUACAACAAAAGGGAGCAUCCCUUUUUUCCAUCUCAUGGUUUCCAUUUAAUCCCACGCUUCAUCCUUUUGGGAACAGCUCAGGUACAAAUAAAAAAAACAACAUCCAUUUUCCUCCGAGUCCAACAAUCCUGCCUCGUGAUUGGUCGGAGCGUCUGUCUGUCAGUCAGUAGGUGGGAAGAGACGAGGCGGAGGGCUGCAGAGAGCCGGAGGAGUUUGACCGUCUCAUGUGAGGGAGGAGG